GACGAACGCUGGCGGCGUGCUUAACACAUGCAAGUCGAGCGGUAAGGCCCUUUCGGGGGUACACGAGCGGCGAACGGGUGAGUAACACGUGGGUGACCUGCCCUCAGCUCUGGGAUAAGCCUGGGAAACCGGGUCUAAUACCGGAUACGACUCCAUGACGCAUGUUGUGGGGUGGAAAGCCUUGUGCGGCUGAGGAUGGGCCCGCGGCCUAUCAGCUUGUUGGUGGGGUGAUGGCCACCAAGGCGACGACGGGUAGCCGGCCUGAGAGGGCGACCGGCCACACUGGGACUGAGACACGGCCCAGACUCCUACGGGAGGCAGCAGGUGGGGAAUCUUGCGCAAUGGGCGAAAGCCUGACGCAGCGACGCCGCGUGA
Molecule: ribosomal RNA, 375 nt
Filed under: uncultured bacterium
Lineage: Bacteria
Description: bacterial SSU rRNA
Rfam family: Bacterial small subunit ribosomal RNA
Source: RNAcentral